GAUGAACGCUAGCGGCAGGCCUAAUACAUGCAAGUCGAACGCUCAGUAGCAAUACUGGGAGUGGCGCACGGGUGCGUAACGCGUACACAAUCUACCUCUAAGCGGGGGACACCUCCUGGAAACGGGGAUUAAUACCGCAUAAUAUGCCGAAGUCGCAUGACUUUGGUAUUAAAGCAGCAAUGCACUUAGAGAUGAGUGUGCGUCCCAUUAGGUAGUUGGUGAGGUAACGGCUCACCAAGCCCAUGAUGGGUAGCCGGUCUGAGAGGAUGGUCGGCCACACGGGCACUGAGACACGGGCCCGACUCCUACGGGAGGCAGCAGUAAGGAAUAUUGGUCAAUGGUGGAAACACUGAACCAGCCAUGCCGCGUGGAGGAAUAAGGUCCUACGGAUUGUAAACUCCUUUUGUACGAGGGAAGAAAAAUAGUUAGAUUUAUUCUAAUUUUAGUACGGUACUCGUAG
RNAcentral lists this ribosomal RNA (460 nucleotides) under uncultured bacterium. Its description in RNAcentral is "bacterial SSU rRNA". It matches the Rfam family "Bacterial small subunit ribosomal RNA", at positions 28 to 484 of the family's 1533-position model. The record is from RNAcentral.